This 1300-nucleotide long non-coding RNA is filed under the name Pan paniscus (pygmy chimpanzee). RNAcentral describes it as "lncRNA (ENSPPAG00000044173.1)". The record is from RNAcentral. Lineage: Eukaryota; Metazoa; Chordata; Mammalia; Primates; Hominidae.
AUGAUGCAGUGUGUGAUUGCAGUCGCGGACAAAGUAUUCGAUGCCUUCCUGAACAUGAUGGCGGAUAAAGCCAAGACCAAGGAGAACGAGGAGGAGCUGGAGCGGCACGCUCAGUUCCUGUUGGUGAACUUCAACCACAUCCACAAGAGGAUAAGGAGGGUGGCAGACGAGUAUCUAUCUGGUCUGGUGGAUAAGUUUCCCCACUUGCUCUGGAGCGGGACUGUGCUGAAGACCAUGCUGGACAUCCUGCAGACCCUGUCUCUGUCACUGAGCGCUGAUAUUCACAAGGAUCAGCCUUACUAUGACAUCCCCGACGCCCCCUACCGGAUCACGGUUCCUGACACGUACGAAGCCCGUGAGGUAGGCCCGACACGAUCCCCUGCACUAAGGGCCAUCUUUACCACAGUUCCCUGAGUAUGUCCACGAGAUGGUCAACCUGCAUGAGCUCACCCAGUCCCCAGCAAUUCGAGGUGUGGGUGGUGCUGGCCCCGUCCCCCAGUGAGGAGACCAAGCCAUUGCCAGGCCCCACCGUGUGCAAGGGGAGCCGGCUGCCCCCAGGUCGCUCUGUCUUCCAAGCCCAGCUCUCCCACCUCAGCCAUGUUGACUCAGCUGUAUUCUCGGUUUAGCUGCCAAAGAGGUCUUCAGCUACCAGCCAGUUUAUAGCCUCUCAAGUCUGCGUCGCACAAGCAUGAUUUUCAGGUGGACUUCACUUCUCUGAGGUGCACUGACAUUUUGUUAUUGUGGUAAUAGGGGAUCAUGCCUUUGACUUGUGCUAUCCAAUGGGGAAACUGGCAGAAUAAAUCACUCCAAAAGAGGAGGAUGUACUGGGUCUCUCCUCUCCCCAACUCGGUCUCAGAGCCCUCACUGUGGCAAGACUGCAACUCAGCUCACAGCUCCUUCAGCCUGGGCUGAGUCAUGUCCUACCUCUGGACCUCCCUGCCAGACCAGCUGUCAAUGGGGAGUUUCCCACAGAGUGGUGUGGCACCGAAGAGGAUUUUGCCACGCAGAGCCUGCCCUUCCAUCCAGUCCCAGACCCAGGACACAAGUUGCACAGUGUCCCUGUGACAUAUUAUUCAUGUAGAUUCUGCCACAAACCUUGUCCAGGAAUUACAGAUCAUAGUGUGUGUGGGCUUCCUGGCCCCAGGGGCCUUGAGGUUCAAACUUAGUGGCUGUGCUAGUCUCUUGGGCUUCUGUAGCAAAAGACAACAGACUGGGCAGCUUGAAAUGUCUUGACAGACAUUGAUUGUCUUACAGUUCUGAGGGCCGAAGUGUAAAAUCAAAGCGUUGGCAGAGCUGGUUU